Non-coding RNA from Acanthosepion pharaonis, 82 nucleotides. The record is from the annotation of a GenBank genome assembly. NCBI's taxonomy places the organism in Eukaryota, Metazoa, Mollusca, Cephalopoda, Sepiida, Sepiidae.
CUUUCGAUCACUGAAAUUAAGCAACGUUGAGCCUGAGCAGUACUCAGAUGGAUGACCCCUGGGGAAUACUAGGCGCUGUAAU